Heterocephalus glaber (naked mole-rat) is the source of this 110-nucleotide small nuclear RNA. The record is from Ensembl. Lineage: Eukaryota; Metazoa; Chordata; Mammalia; Rodentia; Bathyergidae.
AUGCUUGCUUCGGCAGCACAUAUUCUAAAAUUGGAACGAUACAGAGAAGAUUAGCAUGGCCCCUGUGCAAGGAUGACACACACAAAAAAGUCAGCCUGGGCUAUAUAGUU